Harpia harpyja (harpy eagle) is the source of this 8753-nucleotide long non-coding RNA. RefSeq lists it as uncharacterized. The transcript has 14 exons. Lineage: Eukaryota; Metazoa; Chordata; Aves; Accipitriformes; Accipitridae. The record is from RefSeq and is a predicted model, not a curated record.
CUACAGCAAAUCAUCAGAGCGUCUGAGUCCAUCUGCUUUUAAGAAUCCUUAUUGUUCCUCCGGGAACAAUAAACAGCAUGCUACCAAGAACCCAUGAAACUGGAUUGUAGUUUUCAUGUAUUUCUGUUCCCAAACAGACAAGUAACCAAAAUGUUUGUGUGCAGUAGAAGUGUCGCUUAAGAGUUUGCCUGGAGGUGUUGGGUAUCUCUGGGCUUCCUGUGGCUGGCAGGGAAUGGGGGUCCUAACAUAACCUUGUACCUAUCAGAGAGAGCUCCUCCCCACAUCCCAGGGUUUGGCAUUAGUAACUUCCCUUCUUGGCCCUAUUAGGAUGGCAAGAAACUCCCUCUGACCUCUGGAGGUCCAAAACACUGCUCCUGGGAGAGGUCCUCCCUGCUCCAUUUGGCUUUGCCAUCUCCAGACAACUGCCCCGUCUUAGCCUCACUCGGAUGACUAUGAGCUAACAUGAGGUGAAGGUUUAUUUCACCAAGGGGGUUCUCAUCACAAACUCAGAAACAGAGUCAGAACCACCAAAAUGUGAAUACAAUCCAAGUCAAGGCUUAACUCCCAGGCUGCCUAGUGCUGCUCACCUGUGGCUUCUGGAACCCAGCCCAGCCCCUCAGAUUGACAGCAGGUGGGUUCAGGGGGCUCCUUUCUCCCUACCCCCUGCUAGCUACUGAAUGAAUGAAAUGAACUACAUGAUCCAAGGGACUGACAGAUGCUGAGAUGAUGUUCUUGUUUUUUUAAUACCGCACACUAUUAACCUCAGUGACUGAUGGACAUCGGGAAUAGAUGGGACUGCUGCUGAAGGUCAACACCCUCAGGGCCUCAAUUAAGGCGUCUGAAGUCACAACACGUUUUUCCAGGCAAGCAAAAUGAGAGACAAGUAGUUCCCAGGUGAGGAUCCAAACAAAUCAAAUACACCUUAUCAGCCACACUGUAGCUCUUCUUUAUGCAUCACAAGGAAGCAGAAAUAGCUCAAACGCAUGAAGUAGUUUCCAACUAUCUGUAGUUACCUGGGGGUCUUUGACGUGGUUCAGUCAUGAAUGCCAAGAAGUUGUGUUUGUAAUGUUGCCAGCCACUAACAUGGGAGCAACUCUGCAGGCACAAAUUGAAAUGUGACCUAAUCAGAGAGCUGCAGGAGAAGCAAGAUGAUUAAAAAGGAGGCACAUUGGGUCUGAUGGAGAUCAAUGCUGACAGGAAAGAAAAAAGAGAUUGGUAGUCUCUUAAAGCUUGCUUAAAAUCAGUCCUGUCCAGUUGGGAAUGCUGGCAUGAAUGCAGCAGUGAGUUCUGAAAUGAGAUGAACAGUUUAUGUCAAAAUAAUGCAACAAAUUCCAGCCCCCAGUAAAUGUACAUACCCAAGUUCUGUGCGGUGCCUGAGGCCCUGAUCCUGCAGACAAUUACAUGCAUGAGAAAGCCCAGUGAAUGCAGGUCUAUUCAUGCAUGCACGAACACUCACAGGAUUGGGGUUUUAUUGUGCAUCCCCUGCAAUCUACUGGAUGGGAUAGACAUCAGCCUGAACUGUGGCCCAUGUUUUCUCAGGGAGAGUUAGAAAACAAAACAAAACACAUAACAAACCUGAGGCACAUUUCACAUCUGAGUCACUGAAAGUUUGUACAUGAAACACAUGUAUACAAAACUGGACAAGUUUAUUUUCCACAAGGCAAGCUCGGGUUUUGUAUUUUUUUUUUUUUUAACUUAUAAGGAAAGGGAGGAAAUUCCUCCUCCUCCCUUCCCUGCCCAUACAUUUCCCUUGUUCGUGAGUCUUUAGAAGGCUAUGAAACUGCACCAGGAACAAACAAGGACUUUCUUUAAUGAAUAAAUAUUUAUGACAGCCAACUUGGAUACCUAAGGCUGAGGCUGAUUUCUCUGAAACAUGCACCAGAAACUCUCAGGGCUUGAUCCUGCCCGGACUGAAACAUGCUUCCUGGAGCAGCAGCUGCUCCUUAUAACACAUGUCUGAAACCUUGAGCAGGACCACAGAGCACUUUGAUGGAACUGGGUUGGCCAGUUUGUGCUGGCUGCCUCUGUUUUCUGUGCACUCAGAUGUUUUGGCCGUGGCUCGGAAGCCCAGCCCUGCUGCCACAUGAAAGCUCACGGAGCCAGGAAGGAUCUCAUCACAUUGAGAAACUGAAUUCGUAGCAGAGCUGGAAAAGCCUCUUGGUUCUGACUCAAAAUGUUUCUAGAAUGGGGUUUCAGGGCUUACGCUGGAAGCGGUUUGCUGCAGUCAAGCUGUGCAAGAUAAUAACUUCCUCUUACAAAAGCUGUACUAUCCUACAUGCAUUUCAAAUUACAUUUUAUGGACAAACAUUGAAGUACAGUAUUUGGCAGUGCAUGCAAUUGCAUAUAUUUAUAGUAAUCAAAUUCUAAGGUAUGAGAGCCAAGAAGUAAGUUGGUUGCCAUUUUCUUAAUCAUGUAUUUAGUUGACAAUGUAAUUAGUUCUGCUAAAGCUUAAUGAAGUUUGCAUUGUGAUAUUGUGAUGUUUAUGAAGUAAAUUAUGUGGUAUGCUUAAGCAUGCUAUAAAAACAGUUAUAAAAAUACAAACUGUUCCUUUAACUUGCCACAAUAAGUAAAAUCUGAAAUCACUAGAAAGGAUAAACAUCUAUUGAUAUACAGAUUGGAGAAGGAAUCUGGACAUCUCCAAAUAAAAAAGACAGAUUACUUUAUUUUUAUUAAGUAGGACCAAGAAAUCGUAUCUUAUCUCUUUUACCAAUACUGCCACAGGCUUUAUGCAAUUCAUUGACCCUUUUGGAGCUUCAUCUCCCACAUACACAAUACAUCACAAAAGGACUGUGAGAUGGAGUAGUGCUUGUAAGAAAUGCUGAGACCUUCUUUUGGAAGGUGCCAGAAAAGGCCUUGUUUAUGUGUUUGGUUCAUUUUGGUUGGGAAUUUAAGGUGACAUAGCCAUUUCUGGCAAUCCUCCUGUGGGUGCUCUUCCUCUGGAAUAAAACUGCCUUGCCAGAAAUGGUCUGGAUCCACUCCACUAACUUGUGUUUGCUUCUCUGGCAUAUACUAAAGUGAAGAAACAUGGGAUAUCCAUAAUCCUCUGUUUAGAUGUAGCAUCUGUUAGCAUGGACAGCUCAGGAGAGCAAGGAGCAUUGCCUGAGGUGAGCAUUUAGUUUUCUUUCCAGUUAAACAUAUCCAUGCCUACUUUGCUGCAGAGGAACAGUUUCCUCACGUCACUCACAUGGGCUUGACUUGUCCCAUACUUUUUUGGCAUCUGCAGUAAGGUUUACUGUAUUCCCUAAUUCCACUGCUCCAUAUAAAAGUUUCUCAGUGACAGCUCUUUUCUGAGAUAUUUUAACCACUAUCUGGCUUCCUCCUACCCUUUGCAAAGUAUUGUGCUCUAUUGCUAAUGUAGUCACCAUGCCUUUAAACAAAACCCCACCUAGCACUGAGGCUCUGUCUGAGCUUCCCGGCAGAGCCUGGGAAUGUGCCUUCCUUGGCUCACAGACACUUUCUACAGCAUCUCAUCCCCAGCAGUCACACGAGCAGUCCUGCUCCAUUUUGUCUGUGAGCUGACAGGACUUCGACCAUCAGAUCAUCACGUUUAGGAGGUGCUUUGGCAGUCAGCUGUCGGAUGCUCGUGGGAGUGUGUCUGCAGCCAGCACAUCUCCUCUUAGCUUGUAUGUAGCUUGCAGAGUUGAAGCUUGCAGCUCAAAAAAUCAUCUUGCUAUUGUAUUUUCUCCCCUCAGUACCGUUACAAACUGUGCCCUUUCCCAUGUGGUUUUUUUUCAUGCAGACAUUUUUCACAUGCUUUCUCAGAUCACCUCUGGAAACCUUCUUCACCUUCUUAUCUACUUUGCUCUGUAUCAGGUUUUCUGGGAACACCAUGGUUUGUGAAAUAGCUUAACGUGAAUAAUGAUCCCACUGGCUUUCAGGCUGCAUCCUUUUGUUGACAGUAUCUGGAGUAUCCAUUGCUCUGAUAACUAAUUCCUUGUUGCUCUUCUAACACUGCUCAGAUCACUGCACAAACAUUAGACCCAUUUGCUGCUGUAUGCCACUCUUUGUGGACCCUGAUCUUGGGCUUGACACAGUUUUAUGCUUUGGGUCCCUUUUCUGGCUAUUGCCUGGUAAAUUUGAACUGCAGAAAAAAAGAGUGAAAGUCAGUUCCAAGUCUCUGGGCAGUGUCCUGCUCUGAGCAUCUUGUCCUGGAAUUGAUCCCAUCCUGCUCUCUGAAAAAGUAAAUGGCUCCACUCUGCCAGCGUGCAUCUAGUUGGCCCAGUGGGAGCACAGGAGCCGAGUGUCAUCUUUGAAAGCCUGGCUAAGGAGCGGGUGAUGGAGCUUGCCACAUGAAGAGUGGUGCUGGCACAAAGUCAGGGGCUGUGCAAUACGGCGCCAGAGUGGGAAUGGACACCACAUUCGGGAAAACACCCAAAGUUGAUUUUGCUGCAUGUUUUACAUCAUGAACCCACAGCCUGUGCCAAGCUGAUCUGCACUCUCUCUUCUAAGGCAGCACUGGAUCAUGCUCUGGCUUGUCAGAACGGGCUUGCUUGCUGGCUCGGACGUGGCCAGAGGAGACGCUGGUGCAGAGAUGCACUCAUCAGCCAGCAGCUCCUCACCUGGGAAUGUCUCACGUGGACCUGCUGGGAGCCUGGCUCCCACCUGGCUCCUGCAGCUCAGUGUCACUGUGCACACCUUGACUAGGACAUCUAUAAGGAAAGCGAAGGAGAUGUGGCUGUUGCACAACCUCCCUGGCCAGCGUGGACACUGGACUGGAGACCUGGGGCCCUGGCCUCAUGUUUAACUACAGCGAAGCUGCACCUUGUGUGAAAAACAUGCAAAGCGCAACCUUGUUCCUAUCUUGUGACCUGAAGUGCCAGAUACAGCAGCCAUGGAGAAGUGGACCACUGAACACGACCUUGCCAGAAGCAUUAGGCUCAUCCCAGGAAGCCACCAACAGCCUGCAUAAUAUUGCAUAUAAAGUUUCGAAGGACUUGCGGGAAGGCAGGGGGAAGAGAAGGCUUUGGAGAUCCUUAGAGGACUAGUGGAGCUGUCAUGGAUGGGCCCACCUUCUAUCUCAUAACUAGGCUCCCAAGGUUGAAAGGGCAGGCCUUGGAUUCACGUGAUACUUGAGUAAAAGACACAACGAGCUUUAGCAAAGAAGGGUUGAACACAAGGCUGUGAUUUGCAGCUCCUGAGCUGCACUUGGGCUCAGCAGCGAUUCAGCUGCAGAAGCUCAGCUCAAGGGAUAAUGUCAGAAAAUUGUAACCUGAGAAAAGAUCCCUUGAACAACGCUGUCAGGCACUGUGGUGCUGGUCUUUGUUCAUCCCUCCUCACUGAUUUGUUUACACUGGAAUGGAAAGCAUCAGCUACAAGUUACAACAUAAAACCACCAAACCCUUGAAGAUUAUGUGAGAGCUACAGUUUGAUGAGCCAUUAAAUCAGCCAACGACAGGACACGGGGAGGACAAAGCCUGUCCUAAGUGACCACCGAUGGAGCCAGCCCUAUUCAUGGAUUAGAGCUGCCAUGGAAACUCCGUUUGCAGAGCUCACCACAGCAAACACAGAAUGAAUGGCCAGCAGCAACUCCAGCAACAGCGUCUCUCAAACUGCCCAAAGAGGACAGGGGAAACCAGCACAAGAAAAAUGUAUCUGUGAAGCAGAGCUGCCUGGGAGGUCUCCUAGCAGGAUCCUUCCUGAUGCUGGAGCAGGAAGAGAAGCUGCAUAAGUGAUGUGAUUGAGUUUCCCCUUCGUGGUGCUGGUAUCUGUUUCAGAGCCUCGGCAGUGACUGCUGUGAUGGGUCCUGCUCGUCCUGCUCGAGCAUUGAGGGAAGGCAACCAUGGAGGAGCAGCAGAGGCUCACCCCGCCUCAGGCUACUUCGUGAUGCACUGCUCCUCCCUGGAAGAAAAAAGCUACUCAACCUCCCAUGGAAGCUGCUCUCCAGGACCAGAGCCAGCUGCGCUAUACAAUGUCUCCUUCUAGUUCUUGUGUCUUCCUUCCUUGGAACUUUCAGCCACCACCAAUCACAGUAACUUCUGGCAAAGUCUCUAGUGCCACUUCCUCAGGGUGGAGGAGACUCGAGGCAAGACGAACCAGCUGGUGUUCGCUGGCUGUGUAUGACUGCAUUGUCCUCAUUUUAAAACUGGACCUUGUCUCAACCACAGGUGCUUCUAGCAGGUGCCUUGAAGAGCAUUGAGCCAUCCUCUUGGAGGAAAACCCAAGGUCUUCUCAAACACACUUUGUUUUACUGCACUGAACGCGAGGCUCAGCAGACAUGAUUGUUGGCAAUGUGCUGAAAGACAAAAGAAAAGGUGGCUAUGAAAAGCUGUAGCAUCUGGGAUCCUGUUUACAAACUGCAGGCAGCCUCCAGCGUCUGGCCUUAUGGGGAAAAAGGCAAUCCGAACAUUUUACACCCCAGCAGCCUCUCUGCAGCAAACAGGCAUGAGCCCACAAGGAUUUAAAUACAGAAGUUUCUGAUUUUCACCUGCCUCUAAUUCUUUAAGACUAAACUUUGCUCUACUCAUACAUGUGUGGUGCUGGUACUGUAGAGCUGCUCUUUUUUGGAGAACUAAACACAGCAGCACUCAGGAUGUGUCCUGGCCCUGUCCUCUAUUUGAUAAAGUACAAAAACAUCCUGCUGCCUACUCUGUUAAGGGCUUGUUUCUCUGUGAAAAUCCUUUCUCUUAAUCCUUGGUUUAUGACUGUCUGAGAAAAUAUUCUAAUGAGCACUGAAAUGCUGAAUGGGACUCUCCCUCGAGAGGGAUGCUGCCACCCUGAUGCUGCCGUCCCUGUGCCGUGCCCUUCUCACACCCUGACUGCUUCAUGUCAGGAAAUCCUGGCUGAAAGGGGGAGUCUAGUCCUCAGGAGAAGAACAAAACCUGAAUCAUGAAGUGCUCUUAAUCUCAUAGUAAAGUUAAUUUAUAUUUUCCUUUUGUCCCACUUAGCUCCUGAGUAUUCAAGUGACCUCUGCCUCUAAACAUUGAAGAUUUCCAUUUUCAUUCUAGCAUCCCCAUGUCAAAGACACAAUUGAGCUUUCAAGGGAAAUCUGAGAAACAGAAGCAAAAGAGAUAAUGGAGGCUUCUGAAGAGGUGGUGGUGACAGCCCAACCAGCUUCAGUGCAUUUGAGUCUUCCCUAUUGAGAAUUUUUCUCACCUUCACAUAAAGGGCCAGUAUCUGUUACAGCCACAUUUGUCGGCUCUACAGAUGCACCCUGUUGAUUAGGUGAACUUUGUGUACCUGAUCUUGGUGGUGUUCAGAAGCCCAGACACAGACAAGAUGUUAUUAUUAUUCAUGUCUCCCCUACUCAGGUGCUGUGUGUCUCUCCUGUAACUCAACCCCUAAAGAUUUAGCACUGAAGACCCCAUCCUGUGUGCAUCUACCACCAGCUAUAAAGCUGGUUAUUGUAAGCUUCUCCAUGGUUGCAAUGGGGUUGCCUACAGAGGCAAGCUCUGUGUGCUGGUUGGGCCCACUUUAAAACAAAAACGCAGUCAGUAGGAAUGGAGAAUAUGGUAAAUAUUUUGAAGGAUGCUGAGGCUUUUGAAAGGCUGAGACUAAUCAUGCUUUCUAGUUGAAGGUAUGGCUGCUUCUGUUGCAAAACAUUGAAAUAGGAUAAAUUCAGUUAUCAGACUGUCAUGGUACUUGAAUCAUAAUGCAUUGAUAUAUUCAGAAACAGUCUGGAGAAAUGGGCUGAGACUGAGAUGACAAUGUUCACUGAUGGGAUCAUCUUAGAGAAAGCAAACUUGACUGGCAAGGUGCAGAGGGAUCUCACAGUCCUGAGUGACUGGGUGACCAAGUGAUAGCUGAACUUUGUAACACUGACAAGUGAAAAGACAUGCACAGGAGGCUGUGUAAAUAACUCUAUAAAUAGCUAGUGCAGCAUAGCCAGCAGAUUGAAGAAAGUGAGGUUUCCCCUGUACUUAUUAGACCACACCUGGAACACUGUGUCCAGUUUUGGGCCCCCAGUAUAAGGAAGGCUUUGGUAACUGUGAAUCCAGUGGAGGGCCACCGGGAUGGUGGCAGCUGGAGCACUUGCCCUGCAAGGACAGGCUGGACAUCGGGGACUGUCUAGCCUGGAGAAGAGAUGGCUUUGGGAGCCUUCCAAUAUCUCAUGGCUUUGAGCAGGCCGUUGGGUUCAAUGACCUCCCAAAAUCCAACCUGAGCUCUUCUGUUAUUCUAUAAUCCUUAGGAAAGUUGGUUCCAGUAAGUAGUUUUAUCUAAACAUCAACUUCAUGGAUGGGAGCAAUCACAAGAAGUAAACAGAACAUUAGGAAUUAUUAGGAAGAGAGCAGAGAAAAAGCAGGAAUUAUCAACAUCAAAUAGUACAAAUACAAGGUGUGCCUGGAUCAUGAACAUCAUGUGCAAACCUGUCUCCCACUGAUCAAAAAGGAUAGAAUAGAACUAGAAAACGUAGGUGGAAGGGAAAGAAGGGUAAUUAAGAGCUUGAAAGAGACAGCAAUUCAGGUAGGACUAUUCUUUUUGGAAAGAAGGUAACAGAGGAGGUAUAAUAUAGUAAAUAAAAUCAUGAUUCUCAUGAGAACAUGGAGGGGAACCAGGUGGCAGGUUCAAAAUGGUCAAAGUGAACCAUAUCUGCAUUGCAGACAGGAUGUCUCAAGAAAGCAGCUGGCUUGUGACUGGAUAAGAGAAAAAGGCUGGAUUUUAUACAUGACAUGUUGUCAAGAUUUCCAUGCAAGUUUUUCAGAAAAUUAAGAAAAUCUAAAUAAAAAUGUAUUACAGCAACACUGCUAUUCAAAUGGAUCUGGACAAUGCAUGUAUUUAGCAGUUUACAGGUUUAUUAAAGAAUGGCUUCACCUUCA